Long non-coding RNA from Hypanus sabinus (Atlantic stingray), 231 nucleotides. RefSeq lists it as uncharacterized. Lineage: Eukaryota; Metazoa; Chordata; Chondrichthyes; Myliobatiformes; Dasyatidae. The transcript is spliced from 3 exons. The record is from RefSeq and is a predicted model, not a curated record.
AAGCAACACACACAAAAUGCUGGAGGAACUCAGCAGGCCAGGCAGUAUCUAUGGGAAAAAAUAAACAGUUAACAUUUCAGGCUGAGACCCUUCAUCAGGACAGGGGAAAAAAAGAUUAUCAGAAACCCUGAAGAAAGCUUCCAUACCAGGCAUUCACAGUAGAACAAGACAAUCAAUGAAAGCCUACACACGAAGACUGACAACCAACCAAUGUGUAAAAGACAAACUGCA